GAUGAACGCUAGCGGGAGGCCUAACACAUGCAAGCCGAGCGGUAGAGUUUCUUCGGAAACUUGAGAGCGGCGCACGGGUGCGUAACACGUGUGCAACCUACCUUUAUCUGGGGGAUAGCCUUUCGAAAGGAAGAUUAAUACCCCAUAAUAUAAUGAUUGGCAUCAAUUAUUAUUGAAAACUCCGGUGGAUAGAGAUGGGCACGCGCAAGAUUAGAUAGUUGGUGAGGUAACGGCUCACCAAGUCAAUGAUCUUUAGGGGUCCUGAGAGGGAGAUCCCCCACACUGGUACUGAGACACGGACCAGACUCCUACGGGAGGCAGCAGUGAGGAAUAGUGGACAAGGGGUGAGAGCCUGAUCCAGCCAUCCCGCGUGAAGGAGGACGGUCCUAUGGAUUGUAAACUUCUUUUGUACAGGGAUAAACCUACCCUCGUGAGGGUAGCUGAAGGUACUGUACGAAUAAGCACCGGCUAACUCCGUG
Molecule: ribosomal RNA, 479 nt
Filed under: uncultured bacterium
Lineage: Bacteria
Description: partial 16S ribosomal RNA
Rfam family: Bacterial small subunit ribosomal RNA
Source: RNAcentral